CACGUAGUUAGCCGCGGCUUUCUGGUAAGGUACCGUCAAGGUACAGGCAGUUACUCCUGUACGUGUUCUUCCCUUACAACAGAGCUUUACGAUCCGAAAACCUUCUUCACUCACGCGGCGUUGCUCCAUCAGACUUUCGUCCAUUGUGGAAGAUUCCCUACUGCUGCCUCCCGUAGGAGUCUGGGCCGUGUCUCAGUCCCAGUGUGGCCGAUCACCCUCUCAGGUCGGCUACGCAUCGUGGUCUUGGUAGGCCGUUACCCCACCAACUAACUAAUGCGCCGCGGGCCCAUCUCACAGUGACAGCCGAAACCGUCUUUCAACAUCUCUUCAUGCGAAGAAAUGGAUUAUUCGGUAUUAGCCCCGGUUUCCCGGAGUUAUCCCCAUCUGUAAGGUAGGUUGCCCACGUGUUACUCACCCGUCCGCCGCUAAUCUUUAGGAGCAAGCUCCCAAGAUUCGCUCGACUUGCAUGUAUUAGGCACGCCCGCAGCGUUCGUCCUUGACGCCAGGAUCAAACUCGU
RNAcentral lists this ribosomal RNA (518 nucleotides) under uncultured Sporosarcina sp. RNAcentral's name for it is "partial 16S ribosomal RNA". The record is from RNAcentral. Lineage: Bacteria; Bacillati; Bacillota; Bacilli; Caryophanales; Caryophanaceae.